GUGGGAUUUGGCUUGCAAUGUCUGGCUUACUUCACCUAACAUUAUGUUCUCCAAACCUAUCCAUGUUGCCAUAAAUAACAGGAUUCUUCUUUUUUA
Long non-coding RNA from Sapajus apella (tufted capuchin), 96 nucleotides. RefSeq lists it as uncharacterized. The transcript has 4 exons. NCBI's taxonomy places the organism in Eukaryota, Metazoa, Chordata, Mammalia, Primates, Cebidae. The record is from RefSeq and is a predicted model, not a curated record.